AUAAUCAUUUUGCUUGUUCUGCAGGUGCCCAUAUUUAUUAUCUCUUCUGUAGCAGAAGAAUUAUUGGCAUUCUCCAAUAUGAUAACAAGAAUGGUUAUGCAAGCAGCGACAAGAAAAACUUUAUUCUGGCGAGCCAUUGUUUGCACAUGUAGAGCUUAUAAAAGAGAAAAAGCUUCAUAUGUUUCCUGCAGUUCUUUCUCAUAAACUAUUAACAAUUUGGCAGGAACCAUGCAUAGUAUUUUGCCCUCAAUGGAGCUUGCGGUUUGGACCUGUUGUUCAUUUUCUUCGACGAUGGCGUGGAGAUCAUAACCCUUUACUUGUUA
Molecule: long non-coding RNA, 323 nt
Organism: Cornus florida
Lineage: Eukaryota; Viridiplantae; Streptophyta; Magnoliopsida; Cornales; Cornaceae
Exons: 3
Source: RefSeq, a predicted model, not a curated record